GAUUUACUUAAUAAGUAUAUGUUAACGUUGUAUAGUUAUAUAUUGAUUAUUAAGUGGUAAUGAUAUGUUUAUCGAUUUUCAUGAUAGCUAGUUUAUUAGUGAUUAUAUUUAAGUAUUGUAACAUUAAUACAGUGUAAGUUGUUUAAUGUUAGUUUAUAGUAUGGGGGAUAAGCUUCAUAUAAAGUUAUAGAGAGUGUUAAGUAUUAUUAGGUAAUUUAAGUAGAAUUAAUAAUGUUUUUCUUUAAAAGUAGUUUAAAUUAUAAUAGUAUUAGUUUUAAUUUCAUGUUGAGUAGUUAAUAAAUGCUUAUGAAUUUACAAGUAAGUAAAUAUAAUGUUAAUAUGAGUAUUAGUUGGAAUUUCAUUAGUUAAUAUAUUUAAAGAUGUUGUAGUUGUAAAUGGUUUAUAUUAGGAGAAAGUUAAAUAAGAUGAAGGAAUUCGGCAAAUAUUAAUCUCGCCUGUUUAUCAAAAACAUGUCUCUUUGUAAAAUAUAAAUAAAGAG
RNAcentral lists this ribosomal RNA (499 nucleotides) under Sthenoteuthis oualaniensis. RNAcentral's name for it is "partial 16S ribosomal RNA". The record is from RNAcentral. Lineage: Eukaryota; Metazoa; Mollusca; Cephalopoda; Oegopsida; Ommastrephidae.